RNAcentral lists this RNase P RNA (372 nucleotides) under Lentisphaerota bacterium. Its description in RNAcentral is "Lentisphaerae bacterium (anaerobic digester metagenome) RNase P RNA component class A". It matches the Rfam family "Bacterial RNase P class A". From Rfam's summary of the family: Ribonuclease P (RNase P) is a ubiquitous endoribonuclease, found in archaea, bacteria and eukarya as well as chloroplasts and mitochondria. Its best characterised activity is the generation of mature 5'-ends of tRNAs by cleaving the 5'-leader elements of precursor-tRNAs. The record is from RNAcentral. Lineage: Bacteria; Pseudomonadati; Lentisphaerota.
CAUGGGGAGUGACCGAUCGCUCCUGCUUUGGCAGGGGAGGAAAGUCCGGACUCCGCAGGGUAAGAGGUCCGGCCGUUAAGGCCGGAGGGGCGCUGCCAGAUCGGCGCCGACGGAAAGCGCCACAGAAAACAAACCGCCCGGCGUUCGCGCCGGGUAAGGGUGAAAAGGUGGUGUAAGAGACCACCGGGCAGGCGCGAGAGCGCCGCCGCAGGGCAAACCCCCUCUGGAGCAAGAUCAAAUAGGGGACUCGAGACGCGGCCCGUGUCGCUCCGGCGUAAUAGCCGGAUAGGGUUCCGGGUAGAUUGCUUAGAUGAAUGAUCGGAGCCGCCUCCGGGCGGUGAACAGAAUCCGGCUUAUUCGCCCCCGUGCGGU